UACGGAGGGUGCAAGCGUUAUCCGGAUUCACUGGGUUUAAAGGGCGCGUAGGAGGGCAGGUAAGUCAGUGGUGAAAUCCUAGAGCUUAACUCUAGAACUGCCGUUGAUACUAUCUGUCUUGAAUAUUGUGGAGGUGAGCGGAAUAUGUCAUGUAGCGGUGAAAUGCUUAGAUAUGACAUAGAACACCAAUUGCGAAGGCAGCUCGCUACACAUAUAUUGACUCUGAGGCACGAAAGCGUGGGGAUCAAACAGG
This 253-nucleotide ribosomal RNA is filed under the name uncultured bacterium. RNAcentral's name for it is "partial 16S ribosomal RNA". It matches the Rfam family "Bacterial small subunit ribosomal RNA", at positions 524 to 776 of the family's 1533-position model. The record is from RNAcentral.